Molecule: non-coding RNA, 393 nt
Organism: Chlorocebus sabaeus (green monkey)
Lineage: Eukaryota; Metazoa; Chordata; Mammalia; Primates; Cercopithecidae
Source: RefSeq, a predicted model, not a curated record
GCUGGUCUCGAACUCUUGACCUCAAGGAAUCCACCUGCCUCAGCCUCCCAAAAUGUUGGGAUUACAGGUGUGAGCCACCACAUUUGACCACUUCAUGUAAUUUCAAGGCCAUGCUCUUUCUACCUGGCUUCUUCAAGAUCCACAUUGUCUCUCCAGCUGGAUGGCUGAACUUACAUCACAGCUCAGGAAUAGAUCACACUGCGAUUGUGAAAUUGUUGUGAUUGCCGAAGAAUGAAUAUCAAAGCUUGCAGAAUGUAUGUCAGUGGCUUGGAGGAGCAUCCUAGGGACAGUAGUGGAGGAUUAAUUAUGUAAUGUUGCGUCAACAAUGUUCCUGAAGACACAGAGGAUGAUGUUCUUAUGGGAAAAUUGAGACACCCAUGACUCAGUUGAAAA